GACAGAGGAUGCAAGCGUUAUCCGGAAUGAUUGGGCGUAAAGCGUCUGUAGGUGGCUUUUUAAGUUCGCCGUCAAAUCCCAGGGCUCAACCCUGGACAGGUGGUGGAAACUACCAAGCUAGAGUACGGUAGGGGCAGAGGGAAUUUCCGGUGGAGCGAUGAAAUGCGUAGAGAUCGGAAGGAACACCCAAGGCGAAAGCACUCUGCUGGGCCGACACUGACACUGAGAGACGAAGGCUAGGGGAGCAAAUGGG
RNAcentral lists this ribosomal RNA (253 nucleotides) under uncultured bacterium. RNAcentral describes it as "partial 16S ribosomal RNA". It matches the Rfam family "Bacterial small subunit ribosomal RNA", at positions 524 to 776 of the family's 1533-position model. The record is from RNAcentral.